UGCAGUCGAGCGGUAAGGCCCUUCGGGGUACACGAGCGGCGAACGGGUGAGUAACACGUGGGUGAUCUGCCUUGCACUCUGGGAUAAGCCUGGGAAACUGGGUCUAAUACCGGAUAUGACCUUCGGUUGCAUGACCGGGGGUGGAAAGAUUUAUCGGUGCAAGAUGAGCCCGCGGCCUAUCAGCUUGUUGGUGGGGUAAUGGCCUACCAAGGCGACGACGGGUAGCCGGCCUGAGAGGGCGACCGGCCACACUGGGACUGAGACACGGCCCAGACUCCUACGGGAGGCAGCAGUGGGGAAUAUUGCACAAUGGGCGGAAGCCUGAUGCAGCGACGCCGCGUGAGGGAUGACGGCCUUCGGGUUGUAAACCUCUUUCGACUCCGACGAAGCGAGAGUGACGGUAGGAGUAUAAGAAGCACCGGCCAACUACGUGCCAGCAGCCGCGGUAAUACGUAGGGUGCGAGCGUUGUCCGGAAUUACUGGGCGUAAAGAGCUUGUAGGCGGUCUGUCGCGUCAUCUGUGAAAACUUGGGGCUCAACCUUAAGCUUGCAGGCGAUACGGGCAGACUAGAGUACUUCAGGGGAGACUGGAAUUCCUGGUGUAGCGGUGAAAUGCGCAGAUAUCAGGAGGAACACCGGUGGCGAAGGCGGGUCUCUGGGAAGUAACUGACGCUGAGAAGCGAAAGCGUGGGUAGCGAACAGGAUUAGAUACCCUGGUAGUCCACGCCGUAAACGGUGGGUACUAGGUGUGGGUUUCCUUCCACGGGAUCC
RNAcentral lists this ribosomal RNA (770 nucleotides) under Nocardia sp. RNAcentral describes it as "bacterial SSU rRNA". It matches the Rfam family "Bacterial small subunit ribosomal RNA", at positions 56 to 842 of the family's 1533-position model. Lineage: Bacteria; Bacillati; Actinomycetota; Actinomycetes; Mycobacteriales; Nocardiaceae. The record is from RNAcentral.